RNAcentral lists this transfer RNA (90 nucleotides) under Verrucomicrobiaceae bacterium R5-34. Its description in RNAcentral is "tRNA-Ser". It matches the Rfam family "tRNA". Rfam says of the family: Transfer RNA (tRNA) molecules are approximately 80 nucleotides in length. Their secondary structure includes four short double-helical elements and three loops (D, anti-codon, and T loops). Lineage: Bacteria; Pseudomonadati; Verrucomicrobiota; Verrucomicrobiia; Verrucomicrobiales; Verrucomicrobiaceae. The record is from RNAcentral. RNAcentral also lists the same sequence under 1 other name.
GGAGGGAUGGCUGAGUGGUCGAAGGCGCUCGAUUCGAAAUCGAGUGUGGCAGGAAUGUCACCGUGGGUUCGAAUCCCACUCCCUCUGCCA